UGCAGAAACGCAUCAACAAUUUGGGCUUUGGUCUUUUAAACAAAUAUUCUUCUUAUUGUGCAAACUGACGACUAUCACCACACUCCGCUUCCAAAUCGUUUCAAUGGAUUUUUUCGACUAAAACUAGAGAUGCAAGGCUGGGUAAAUCACUCGCCACUCGCGGCGAUACAUCGAUAUAUCGAAUAGUUCGAUAUGCCAAAGCUUAGUGCUGAGCUUAAUACUUAUCGUGAGGUGUUGGCGCCAGUGCUGAAUCCGCUAUCGAUAACAAUUCAAGAGCAAGGUCACCCACUAUCGCAACUAUCAAGAACAGCUGAUUGGGUUGUAUUAACUUUCAAGUUUGGUAUAUAUUAAUUUAAUUAAAUGUACGGCUCCACUGCGCAUACUCAAAUGGAAAAAUAUAUAUAAUACUAACAGCUUUUA
This is a long non-coding RNA of Drosophila yakuba, 420 nucleotides long. RefSeq lists it as uncharacterized. The transcript is spliced from 2 exons. Lineage: Eukaryota; Metazoa; Arthropoda; Insecta; Diptera; Drosophilidae. The record is from RefSeq and is a predicted model, not a curated record.